UGAUGGGCGUCGACCGGCGCACGGGUGAGUAACGCGUAUCCAACCUGCCCAUCACUUGGGAAUAACCUUGCGAAAGUAAGAAUAAUACCCAAUGAUAUCUCACGAAGGCAUCGGAAUGGGAUUAAAGAUUUAUCGGUGAUGGAUGGGGAUGCGUCUGAUUAGCUUGUUGGCGGGGUAACGGCCCACCAAGGCAACGAUCAGUAGGGGUUGUGAGAGGAAGGUCCCCCACAUUGGAAUUGAGACACGGUCCAAACUCCUACGGGAGGCAGCAGUGAGGAAUAUUGGUCAAUGGGCGAGAGCCUGAACCAGCCAAGUAGCGUGCAGGAUGACGGCCCUAUGGGUUGUAAAAUGCUUUUAUAAGGGAAUAAAGUGGGUCACGUGUGACUUUUUGCAUGUACCUUAUGAAUAAGGACCGGCUAAUUCCGUGCCAGCAGCCGCGGUAAUACGGAAGGUCCGGGCGUUAUCCGGAUUUAUUGGGUUUAAAGGGAGCGUAGGCCGGAGAUUAAGUGUGUUGUGAAAUGUAGAGGCUCAACAUCUGCACUGCAGCGUGAACUGGUUUUCUUGAGUACGCACAACGUGGGCGGAAUUCGUGGUGUAGCGGUGAAAUGCUUAGAUAUCACGAAGAACUCCGAUUGUGAAGGCAGCUCACGGGAGCGCAACUGACGCUGAAGCUAGAAAGUGCGGGUAUCGAACAGGAUUAGAUACCCUGGUAGUCCGCACGGUAAACGAUGGAUGCCCGCUGUUGGCCUGAAUAGGUCAGCGGCCAAGCGAAAGCAUUAAGCAUCCCACCUGGGGAGUACGCCGGCAACGGUCCA
RNAcentral lists this ribosomal RNA (815 nucleotides) under uncultured Bacteroidota bacterium. RNAcentral describes it as "bacterial SSU rRNA". It matches the Rfam family "Bacterial small subunit ribosomal RNA", at positions 82 to 898 of the family's 1533-position model. Lineage: Bacteria; Pseudomonadati; Bacteroidota. The record is from RNAcentral.